RNAcentral lists this ribosomal RNA (406 nucleotides) under uncultured bacterium. Its description in RNAcentral is "partial 16S ribosomal RNA". It matches the Rfam family "Bacterial small subunit ribosomal RNA", at positions 30 to 526 of the family's 1533-position model. The record is from RNAcentral.
AUUGAACGCUGGCGGCAGGCCUAACACAUGCAAGUCGAACGAGUGGCGGAAGGGUGAGUAAUGUCUGGGAAACUGCCUGAUGGAGGGGGAUAACUACUGGAAACGGUAGCUAAUACCGCAUACCAUCGGAUGUGCCCAGAUGGGCUUAGCUUGUUGGUGGGGUAACGGCUAACCAAGGCGACGAUCCCUAGCUGGUCUGAGAGGAUGACCAGACACACUGUAACUGAGACAGGUUCCAGAUUCCUCCGGGAGGCAGCAGUGGGGAAUAUUGCACAAUGGGCGCACGCCUGAUGCAGCCAUGCCGCGUGUAUGAAGAAGGCCUUCGGGUUGUAAAGUACUUUCAGCGGGGAGGCGUUACCCGCAGAAGAAGCACCGGCUAACUCCGUGCCAGCAGCCGCGGUAAUUC